Molecule: transfer RNA, 62 nt
Filed under: Platyxantha sp. BMNH 846582
Lineage: Eukaryota; Metazoa; Arthropoda; Insecta; Coleoptera; Chrysomelidae
Description: tRNA-Asp
Source: RNAcentral
AAAAUUUAGUUAAAACCAUAACAUUAGUUUGUCAAACUAAAAUUAUUUAAAAAUAAUUUUUA